RNA transcript from Macaca mulatta (Rhesus monkey), 4785 nucleotides. It is a transcript of the gene named RNA binding motif protein 18, with no coding region annotated. The record is from RefSeq and is marked provisional. Lineage: Eukaryota; Metazoa; Chordata; Mammalia; Primates; Cercopithecidae.
GCGAGGAGGCGGCGCAGGCGUAACGCGUCACGGGCGGCCUGGCAGCUGGCGGCAUUGAGGCAGACGCGGCUAGAGGUCCGUCUGACCGCGGCGUCGGGACUUGGUUUCCGGGCAUGAGCUGAGAGCACCACGCCGAGGCCACGAGUAUUUCAUAGACAUUGAUGGAAGCAGAAACCAAAACUCUUCCCCUGGAGAAUGCAUCCAUCCUUUCAGAGGGCUCUCUGCAGGAAGGACACCGAUUAUGGAUUGGCAACCUGGACCCCAAAAUUACCGAAUACCACCUCCUCAAGCUCCUCCAGAAGUUUGGCAAAGUAAAGCAGUUUGACUUCCUCUUCCACAAGUCAGGUGCUUUGGAGGGACAGCCUCGAGGCUACUGUUUUGUUAACUUUGAAACUAAGCAGGAAGCAGAGCAAGCCAUCCAGUGUCUCAAUGGCAAGCUGGCCCUGUCUAAGAAGUUGGUGGUGCGAUGGGCACAUGCUCAAGUAAAGAGAUACGAUCAUAACAAGAAUGAUAAGAUUCUUCCAAUCAGUCUUGAGCCAUCCUCAAGCACUGAGCCUACUCAGUCUAACCUAAGGGAAUUAAGUGACUUCUAUAGAUUCACUGGGAACAUAUAUCCACUGUGUUAUUUUCCUCAUGAGAUUUGAACCUCCUUGAUCACAGAUUGAUCUCCAUGAAGGUUUUCGUAAAUCUAACUCCUAUUGGAAAGAGAUGACUGCAUUUGUGCUGGAUGGUCUUCAUGUUACAAUGAACAUGUCUUUAGUUUCUUAUGAUUUGUAUAUGCCACUUGUUUACAAGAUAGCCUAGGGUUUUCCAUCUAUUUUUUUAUCCAGAGGACCGCAGCUUACAUCUCUCUAUUAACAUCUAUGCCUAAUGAGAGAAGGUUGCUUCCCUGUGACUCAUACAAAAUCAGUGACCGGCUGUGCCAUUAAUGGAAGAGGGGCCAGAAUGCAUCUCGUGUCACUGCAAAGAUAAAAGCCAUUGAAGCAAAACUGAAAAUGAUGGCGGAAAAUCCUGAUGCAGAGUAUCCAGCAGCACCUGUUUAUUCCUACUUUAAACCACCAGAUAAAAAAAGGACUACUCCGUAUUCUAGAACAGCGUGGAAAUCUCGAAGAUGAUGGUUGUGAAUUACUGUAGCAGCAAAAGCAAAUUGGUCUCCACACCUAAAAUCGUCUGCCUUUGUACUUUGUAGAUGUGAAUGGUACUAUUCAACGGAGCACAAUCACAUGUUAGCAUUUGGUAACAUAAUGUUUUUGGAUGUUCUUAUGGAUGUUUCUUCCCUGCACUAUGUAUGGAAUUGAGCAUCAUCCAGAAUAAAUAGGAUUGUAUCCCAAAUUGUGAUUGGAACCCUGGGAUGCUCUAAUUGGCUGGUUUGUUUGGAUUUGUAACUCCAGAAACAUUCUAUAGUGUGCCAGAGCAAAAGGCAAAUACACAAAAUGUUAUUACUUAAAUCAGGAAACUAAAUAUAUUAGCAUCUAUUAAAAAAUUGAGCAUUUUUCUACGCUUAUGUGUCUUUACAACACAAAGAAAAAGUAAAAGACAGGGAGGGAAGUGAGAGACAGAUUUUAAAUCAUGUUCAGAACUGUUGUUCCAGAAUUUACUAUGGCAAUCCCUCCAACUGGACUGAAAAAGAGAAAGUUCUUGGCAAAAAGGAGCUGAUUCUUUGAGCAAAUAUUGUGGUAAUCUGUUUAAGAAUUAUGCUUAUUGUUUCAAAAUCCCAGCUAGGAAAACAUGGUGUAUAUCUUAAAGUUGUUCGUGUUAAAACUAGAAUCAAAUUUAAUAUUUUAUACCACAACACAAGUUCUAUUUGGAAAUUGAACUUUUAUUCUAUAGCAAUCAUUUUUUUCAAAUCUAGAUAACCAUGCCUUCUAUAAUAACAAAUGUUGCUAUUUUCAUGGGACUUUUAAAAUUACAUUUAUUGCAUGGGAUUGUUUUUAUAGCAUGAGAAUGUUCUGUUUGGAAUUAUAUCAUGGUCAGUCUAAAUAGAAAAAGCAAAAUUUCUUUGAAAACCUAAACAUUGCUGGAUUGGUCACUAUCAAACAUACAAUUUUCUAAUAAUUGUGUAGCGAUCUAAGUGGAAGAGAUUGGAUUAACUUAUGCAGGAUGAGGAGAGGACAUGCAGUGGGUACAGAAAGUCAAUGGAACAGACGCCACUCUGGCACCAAGACUGUGAUGACUUUGUGUGGUAGGUAGUUUUAAAGGACUGCAUGCCUUGGAAAUGAUUCUUCACUUGGAGAACAUACUUGCCUCUAGAUAUUUCACUCUAAGCAUCCUAAAUAUAACAAUAGAGAAAGAUAAGUCAACCAACAGAUUUGGGGAUGUGUUUCUUCAGCACAUUUUGGUCAUUUUGGUGCCAAGUUUGACAUACUGUUUAAUUGGGCAGCACCUUUGCUCCUUUACCAGGUAUGUAUCACUUUGUUACUCCAGAUGCCAUCCUUGGUGAUUACAGACUAUUUAUCACUAUCAUUGUUAGCAAGAGGAAGCUUUCGUUAUAGGAACUUAACAUCUUCCCAUGAGUAUAAAUGAAUUUAAGACAUUUGAAUCAAAGCUUCAGUAGAGGGAGGUUUCAGAAUUCAUAAAACUGGUUCAAUGAAAUUAUUUUUACUUUUCCCAAGGUUAAUCUUUUUAAAUAUCUCUAGACAUCAAAUACUUUCUGUAUGUGUUAGCUGUGUCUGUCUAUGAUGCAAGUAACUCUCCUCCUAUUUGGGGGAUAGUUCAGAGAGGUAGGAGCAUUAUCUCCCAUUUUUCUGGUGACUUCUUGGAGUAUAGAAUUCACCAUUUUAUCCAUAAGUCUUCAAAGGGUAAUGGUGGAGUAGAACUUACAUAAUGCAAAAUAGUCUUCUAUUUUUAAUAGGAACUUAGAAAAAACUUAAUAUAUAGAGUUGUUUCCUUUAGAAACCAGAGCUAUUUAUUUGUAUUUAAAGCAUUGUUUAUUAUUUGUACUGAUUCUUAUCCCUCUGUGAAUAAAUGUAAGAUGGUGUCUGUGUGGUUAUAUCUUCUCUCAUUCACUUAAUGGCAUAUACUGCAGUUCUCUGACAGGCUUGUUUCCACUCAGGACUCUGGCCAGCAUGUCCAGGUCGGGUGCUGCUUGUAAGUGCCUUCUCUGCAGAGGGUUCUGGCUAGAGUCAAACUCAGAGGCAACUCUCUUUACCCUUUAUGCCUGCCUACCUCUGUUGUUAGAGAUGAGAAGAGAGACCAGCUGUUUCCAUUGCAAAUGUCAAUAUUUGAAAAGAAGUUGUUAAUGGAAAUUUCUGCAAGUAUCAUACUAUGUUUAGUCUCUCAUAGUAGAGAUUUCAAAAGAAUAAAUGUAUGUAUCAUAAAUAUGCUGAAAGCAGUCUGAUGAAAGGUUUUUAAAUUUCAGGUGUUAACUUGGUCAACUCUGUUAGGAGGUUAUCUGUACUUAAGGUAAAAUUUUUCUUUGGUUUACUGGUUAGUUAUUUUGGUUUGCUAAAAUUAUGUCACUUAUAAUUUGGGUUUAUAUACAAGAGUGAAGAAUUGAAGGAAAUAUUGAGGAGAGAGGUAUGAACUAUUUUCUUCUCAAUUCCUGUUUUAUCAAAUGCAAAAUGUAAUCCUAACCAGUUGAUUUUCUAUAAUUUAUAUCUCAGUACUGGGGAGGAGUAUCACAUGAGGAAAGAUUUUUCAAAGCAUGUCAGCUGAGGCACAAGAAUCGCUUGAACCCAGGAGGCAGAGGUUCCAGUGAGCCGAGAUUGUGCCAUUGCACUCCAACCUGGGCGACAGAGUGAAACACCAUCUCAAACAAAAACAAAGCAUGUCAAAAAUCAUUAGCACAAGUAGUAUGAAACCAAGUAUUCUGUAGCUCUGUCUCUUAUUUAUUAAGAUAUGCACAGUUUCCUGAAUCAACAAAUAUAUCUGUGAUUCUUUUAUACUACUAUAUAAAAGAAUAGGAGUAAUUCUUGCCUUAUAAAUUAAAUGUUAAAGAUUUCCUGUAUGUAAUCAUUUGUUCCUAAAAUAUGAUUUAGUCCCAGCAUGUUUAUCCUUGUUUUCUCUUUUUCUCUCCAGCUCUUAUCUAGUCUGUCAACAAAUCCUGUCAACUCUACCUUCCAAAUGCGUCUUGAAUCCAGCCAUCUCACCACCUCCAACACCACCACCAUUUUUGUUAAAGCCACUAUCACAUUUUUGUUAAAGCCACCAUCAUCUCUUCCCUGCAUUACUACAAUACCUUCCUAAUUAUCUGCCUGCCUUUGCUAUUGAUUCUUUAGGGUCCAUUUUCCAUACAGUAGCCAAAGCGAUUUUUAAACAGUUAUUUUAAGAAUGUGAUUCUCUUCUUGGUGGCUUUCCAUCACCAAAAUUCAAAGACCUGUAAGGCCCUAAUGACAUGUCCCUCACUACGUGUCUGACCGGAUAGCCUGCUGUUCUCCCCUUGCUCACUGUGCUCCAGCCACACUGGCCUUCUUGCUAUUCUUUGAAUACAAGGGAGCUUCUACUUGAAGGCAUUUACAUUGGCUGUUGCCUUAGCUUAGAAUGCUCUUUCUCCAGAUAGCCGCAGAGCCCACUCCCUCACCUGACUCGUCUCUGCUCAAAUGUUAAUGAUCAAGAGGCAGUCCCUGGCCUCGCUUUUAAAAUUACAACCCUGUCGCUCUUCAAUCCUUUCCUCACCAUUUUCUCAAAAGCACUUACCCCUAACCAACAUUAUAUCUAAAUUUUUUUGUGUCUUUUUAUUGGAAUGUAAGUUUCAUGUAAGCAGGAACUCUAUAUCACUGCUAUACCCUCAGCAUUUAAAACAAUGGCUGUACAUCAUACAUGCUCAAUAAAUAUUUGUUGAAUGAA